Vigna angularis (adzuki bean) is the source of this 87-nucleotide small nucleolar RNA. It matches the Rfam family "small nucleolar RNA snoR114". The record is from Rfam. NCBI's taxonomy places the organism in Eukaryota, Viridiplantae, Streptophyta, Magnoliopsida, Fabales, Fabaceae.
GAGCAGUGACGAAACUGUGUUCGAUGUGGUAGAUGGGUCUAUCUCACUCUUCUGAUCUUUCAGACGAAUAGUAACACCUCAGAGCUC